GCCGUCGUCGCCGGCGACGAUGUGUUGCGCAGGUCGGCGCGCAGCGCGAGGUUCUCCCGGUGGAGCGCGCUGGCCUUCUCCCUCAGCCUCUCGUUCUCCUCCAGGAUGCACCUGUUCUCCAGGUAGAGCUUCAGUUCAUGAAUCCAUCAGUCCUCAGACUACAAAAAUCUCACCAAAUUAAACAAAGUUGGGAUAGAUGCUAUUACCUCUUCCUCCUGAGAGCCAUGGGGGCAUGAGCCGGCUGCUUUCUCUGCUGCUGCUGUUGAUUGUCCUGCCUGAAUACAACCAAAGACAGAUAGAUCUUAUUCUUGCUGUUCCAGGAGCCAGAACACAUGCUAGCUGCUGGAUAUAGAUACAGUGUUUGUUCCUAGAUUCCAGUCAUCUGUGGAGCUCA
RNAcentral lists this small RNA (394 nucleotides) under Oryza sativa Japonica Group (Japanese rice). RNAcentral describes it as "sRNA Os09g0520525". The record is from RNAcentral. Lineage: Eukaryota; Viridiplantae; Streptophyta; Magnoliopsida; Poales; Poaceae.